AUCCUCCAGAUUCCUUAUCCAUCUUGGUCUGAGUGGCUAUAAAAGAUGGAAAAGUAAAACUGAAAUGAACUUGAAUUCUUUUGUGAUAUACAAGUUGGCUUCAAACAAAG
RNAcentral lists this small nucleolar RNA (110 nucleotides) under Echinops telfairi (small Madagascar hedgehog). RNAcentral describes it as "Small nucleolar RNA SNORA61 (ENSETEG00000025117.1)". The record is from RNAcentral. Lineage: Eukaryota; Metazoa; Chordata; Mammalia; Afrosoricida; Tenrecidae.